UCAGCCUAGCCCGAGCCUCCCGGCAACCUCCCUUUGGCUCCGCCUUUUAAAGGGCCUUUACGGUAAAUAACCCCGACGCUUAGGGGGGCUUCUGCUUCUGGGCCCUAAAACUUACCCAGACUCCUUCCAUGGCCAUGCAAGAGGUCUUAGCAACGUGUUCACACGAUCAUGGUUUAAAAAAUAUAUAAUAACAAAAAUGUUGUUAAAGAGGCCAUGAAAGAAUACACAGCCAAAAAAUGUGGGAGUGGAGUUGAAGUGUGUCUGCUUGGCCUGCCUUUGGGUUCUGGAUUGUACCUAGCCCAAUGAAGCUAAAAGGGAAUUAUGUUUCUGAAGUGCCUCCCAAAUCUCAAAUGAUGGCAGCCUACUCUGUGGUCUCUCACCCACCUCUCCCCCUGCAAUGAAAGAAGGCUAGCAUCUGUAGCACCUACAAGAGGACCAACAUUCCCCAGGAAAUUCUGUCCUUUAAAACCAUGAGAUGAAUAACCUUGGUCUGGAAGGUAUUCAUAGAAAGAAGCUUAGAAUAUUUGAUUUUUGAGCAUGAAUUAACUGUACA
Long non-coding RNA from Piliocolobus tephrosceles (Ugandan red Colobus), 553 nucleotides. RefSeq lists it as uncharacterized. The record is from RefSeq and is a predicted model, not a curated record. NCBI's taxonomy places the organism in Eukaryota, Metazoa, Chordata, Mammalia, Primates, Cercopithecidae. The transcript has 4 exons.